UACGUAGGGGGCAAGCGUUGUCCGGAAUUAUUGGGCGUAAAGAGCGUGUAGGCGGCCAGGUAGGUCUGCCGUGAAAACUCGAGGCUCAACCUCGAGACGUCGGCGGAAACCAUCUGGCUAGAGUCCGGAAGAGGAGAGUGGAAUUCCUGGUGUAGCGGUGAAAUGCGCAGAUAUCAGGAAGAACACCCGUGGCGAAGGCGGCUCUCUGGGACGGUACUGACGCUGAGACGCGAAAGCGUGGGGAGCGAACAGG
RNAcentral lists this ribosomal RNA (253 nucleotides) under uncultured bacterium. Its description in RNAcentral is "partial 16S ribosomal RNA". It matches the Rfam family "Bacterial small subunit ribosomal RNA", at positions 524 to 776 of the family's 1533-position model. The record is from RNAcentral.